RNAcentral lists this ribosomal RNA (465 nucleotides) under Vreelandella stevensii. RNAcentral describes it as "partial 16S ribosomal RNA". It matches the Rfam family "Bacterial small subunit ribosomal RNA", at positions 338 to 795 of the family's 1533-position model. Lineage: Bacteria; Pseudomonadati; Pseudomonadota; Gammaproteobacteria; Oceanospirillales; Halomonadaceae. The record is from RNAcentral.
CCUACGGGGGGCAGCAGUGGGGAAUAUUGGACAAUGGGCGAAAGCCUGAUCCAGCCAUGCCGCGUGUGUGAAGAAGGCCUUCGGGUUGUAAAGCACUUUCAGUGGGGAAGAAAGCCUUGGGGCUAAUACCCUCGAGGAAGGACAUCACCCACAGAAGAAGCACCGGCUAACUCCGUGCCAGCAGCCGCGGUAAUACGGAGGGUGUGAGCGUUAAUCGGAAUUACUGGGCGUAAAGCGCGCGUAGGCGGUCUGAUAAGCCGGUUGUGAAAGCCCCGGGCUCAACCUGGGAACGGCAUCCGGAACUGUCAGGCUAGAGUGCAGGAGAGGAAGGUAGAAUUCCCGGUGUAGCGGUGAAAUGCGUAGAGAUCGGGAGGAAUACCAGUGGCGAAGGCGGCCUUCUGGACUGACACUGACGCUGAGGUGCGAAAGCGUGGGUAGCAAACAGGAUUAGAUACCCGGGUAGUC